AGCAGUCGCCACGGUAAUACAGAGGGUGCGAGCGUUAAUCGGAUUUACUGGGCGUAAAGCGUGCGUAGGCGGCUAAUUGAGUCGGAUGUGAAAUCCCCGAGCUUAACUUGGGAAUUGCAUUCGAUACUGGUUAGCUAGAGUGUGGGAGAGGAUGGUAGAAUUCCAGGUGUAGCGGUGAAAUGCGUAGAGAUCUGGAGGAAUACCGAUGGCGAAGGCAGCCAUCUGGCCUAACACUGACGCUGAGGUACGAAAGCAUGGGGAGCAAACAGGAUUAGAGACCCCUGUAGUCCCUGUCUCUUAUAA
RNAcentral lists this ribosomal RNA (303 nucleotides) under uncultured bacterium. Its description in RNAcentral is "partial 16S ribosomal RNA". It matches the Rfam family "Bacterial small subunit ribosomal RNA", at positions 507 to 809 of the family's 1533-position model. The record is from RNAcentral.